Molecule: ribosomal RNA, 443 nt
Filed under: uncultured bacterium
Lineage: Bacteria
Description: partial 16S ribosomal RNA
Rfam family: Bacterial small subunit ribosomal RNA
Source: RNAcentral
CCUACGGGAGGCAGCAGUGGGGAAUAUUGGGCAAUGGGCGCAAGCCUGACCCAGCAACGCCGCGUGAAGGAAGAAGGCUUUCGGGUUGUAAACUUCUUUUCUGAGGGACGAAGAAAGUGACGGUACCUCAGUAAUAAGCCACGGCUAACUACGUGCCAGCAGCCGCGGUAAUACGUAGGUGGCAAGCGUUAUCCGGAUUUAUUGGGUGUAAAGGGAGCGUAGGCCGCAUGUCAAGCGGGCUGUGAAAGGUCCGGGCUCAACCCGGGCCUUGCAGCGCGAACUGGCGUGCUUGAGUCCGCGGAAAGCAGGCGGAAUUCGUGGGGUAGCGGUGAAAUGCUUAGAUAUGACGAAGAACCCCGAUGGCGAAGGCAGCUUGCUGCAGCGGAACUGACGCUGAUGCUCGAAAGCGCGGGUAUCGAACAGGAUUAGAUACCCCAGUAGUC